CAGCAGCGCNCCACUUUCCCAAAAAACCCCUCAGAAUUUCAAAAUUCUAUUUCUCAAAUUCCCGAGCUCCAUCGACUCGAAAUUAGGGACCAGAGUUUUACAAUGCUCCGCCGGCCGGAGAGGGCUUUUCUCGCCGAAACCCUGAUCCUUCUCCUCUUAAUUCUAUCCUCGCUCGCUCAAAACCCUAGAGUCGUCGAAAGAUCCGCCCUUUCCCGGUUCAAGACCUCGUUAUCGGAUCCUGCUGGUCUUCUCUCUCGCUGGUCCGGGCCUGACAAGUGCUCCUGGCCCGGAGUCACGUGCGACUCGCUAUACAGGGUCGUCGUCGUCAACAUCGCCGCCGGAGGUAACCUCAAGCUCGCCGGUGAGCUCACUGCGGAGAUAGGUAACUUGACUGAGCUUAAGGUUCUGUCGAUCCCUUUCCAUUCGCUCUCCGGAGAGAUCCCCGAUGAGCUGUGGAGGCUCGAGAAGCUCGAAGUCUUGAAUCUUGAAGGGAAUUUGUUAUCUGGUUACCUGCCCUUGAGAUUCAUGCCGCAGGGGCUUAGGGUUUUGAAUUUGAGGUCAAAUCGGGUCUCAGGUGAUAUCCCUCACUCUCUUUCUACUUGCCUAAAUUUGGAAAGUUUGGAUCUUUCGAACAAUAAGUUCAAUGGCUCGGUUCCUGGAUUCUUUGGUAGUUUGCCCAAGUUAAAAACCCUAAAUCUCUCUUUUAAUCAGUUUACUGGUUCUAUUCCGAAUGAAAUUGGAGCUGGGUGUGAAAGCUUAGAGUAUCUUGAUCUCUCUCGAAAUUUUCUGCUUGGGGGCAUUCCUCGUAGUUUGGGGAACUGCAGCGUGAUUCGAAGUUUGAUGUUGUUUUCCAAUUUGUUAGAUGAUGCGAUCCCAUCUGAGCUUGGGAAGCUGAGAAAGAUUCAAGCUUUAGACGUUUCAAGGAACAGUUUGAGUGGAAUUCUACCUUCAGAGUUGGGAAAUUGUCAAGAGCUUUCUGUUAUUGUUCUUUCCCAUCCUUAUGAUCCUAUGCUUCCUUUGAAGGAUUCAGACUACAAUGGUUUUGAUGAUUGCAACUAUUUUCAAGGUGGGAUUCCUGAAAAUAUCACUAGCUUGCCGAAACUUAGGGUUUUAUGGGCUCCACGAGCGACACUGGAAGGGGAGAUUCCAAGCAACUGGGGAAACUGCAAAAGCUUGGAGAUGGUUAAUUUAGGUGAAAAUCUCUUCACUGGUGGGGUUCCAAAAACAUUUGGGCAAUGCAAUAAUCUAAAAUUUCUAAAUCUAAGCUCCAGCAAGUUGAGGGGUGGGAUCAGUGGGGAACUUUGUGUGCCUUGUAUGAGUGUUUUUGAUGUUAGCGGUAAUCAGUUGUCGGGUGUCAUUCCUAAGUUUACACAUGAAUCAUGUCCUCCAUCUCAAUUAUUGGCAGAUGACCUACCUUUUGACUAUCACUUGCUUUUCAGAUAUAGUACUCUUUCUGGAAUCUCCUUGCCUUUUUUUGAUUCAGGUGGUGCUUCUGUGAUUUAUCAUAAUUUUGGCUGGAAUAAUUUUACGGGCGCUUUGACGUCAUUGCCUAUAUCAGCUGAAACAUUGGGUAAGGGAACUGUGUAUGCUUUUCUUGUUGACGGGAACCAAUUCGUGGGUCCAUUAGCAGAUGGUCUGUUUGAGAAAUGCAGAUAUUUGAAAGGGUUGAUUAUCGACUUUAGCAACAACUAUGUUUCUGGCUCGAUCCCGGCAGGCAUUGGUAACAUGUGCAAAUCCCUGUUGGUUUUUGAUGCUGCUGGUAAUAGAAUAACAGGAGUGAUUCCACAAAGUUUUGGAGAAUUAGGGAGUCUUUUUGAGCUUGAUUUGAGCAGGAACCGACUUCAAGGCGAGAUCCCUCUUAGUUUUAUGAAUUUAAAGGGUUUGAAUUAUCUCUCAUUAGCCACCAACAACCUAAGUGGUUCUAUUCCUGUAGCUUUUGAGCAGUUGUAUUCUCUUAAAAGAUUGGAUCUUUCUUCAAACGCACUAUCAGGUAAGAUCCCAGACGGCCUUGUGAAUCUUAAAAACCUCGUGGCUCUUUUUCUUGAUGACAACAAUCUCUCUGGAAAGAUACCGUCUGGUUUUGCUAAGGUGGCAUCUCUAUCUGUGUUCAAUGUGUCAUUCAAUAAUUUGUCUGGAACAUUGCCUUCAAACAGCAGCACGAUGAGAUGUGACACUGUUCUUGGGAACCCCCUACUUCAACCUUGCCAUGCAUAUUCUCUGUCCACUUCAGCAUCUAAUCAGCAAGGGUUUAGUGGAAGUUCACAAACUUUUGCUGAUACACCUUCUGGGAGUGCAACUAGCAGCAGCGACAGCAGUGGGUUCAGUUCCAUCGAGAUUGCUUCAAUAGCUUCAGCAUCUGCCAUAGUUUCAGUAUUGUUGGCCCUUAUUGUCCUCUAUGUAUAUACAAGAAAAUGUGCUCCAAGGUCUUCAAUUCGAUCACCUGGAAGGAGAGAAGUAAUAGUUUUCACGGACAUUGGUGUCCCUAUUACGUAUGAGAGUGUUGUGAGAGCAACAGGGGGUUUUAAUGCAAGCAACUGCAUUGGAAAUGGAGGCUUUGGAGCAACUUACAAGGCUGAGAUAUCCCCAGGGGUGGUUGUCGCUAUAAAGAGACUUUCUGUAGGCCGAUUCCAAGGUGUUCAACAGUUCCAUGCGGAGAUUAAGACACUUGGGAGAUGGCGCCACCCAAAUCUUGUGACUCUGAUAGGAUAUCAUGUUAGCGAAUCGGAGAUGUUUCUUAUAUAUAACUACUUGCCAAGUGGUAACCUAGAAAGGUUCAUACAAGAAAGAUCUAAACGAGCUGUAGAUUGGAGGAUGCUGCACAAGAUUGCUUUGGAUGUUGCACGUGCGCUUGCUUAUCUACAUGACCAUUGUGUGCCUCGCAUCCUUCAUCGGGAUGUCAAACCUAGCAAUAUCUUGUUGGACAAAGAUUUCAAUGCAUAUCUGUCUGACUUUGGAUUAGCUAGGCUUUUAGGAAAUUCUGAGACCCAUGCAACUACUGGGGUUGCUGGGACAUUUGGGUAUGUUGCUCCAGAGUAUGCUAUGACAUGUCGCGUCUCUGAUAAGGCUGAUGUGUACAGCUAUGGUGUAGUACUUCUAGAGUUGAUCUCGGAUAAGAAGGCCUUGGAUCCAUCUUUCUCCCCAUAUGUAGAUGGUUUCAAUAUUGUAACUUGGGCUUGCAUGCUUCUUCGUCAGGGAAAGGCACGUGAUUUCUUCACUGAGGGGUUAUGGGAUGUGGCUCCCCAUGACGAUUUGGUGGAGAUCUUGCACUUGGCUGUCAUGUGCACUGUUGAUUCGUUAUCUAUCAGACCCACAAUGAAGCAUGUUGUUCAACGGCUAAAGCAACUUCAGCCACCAACAUGCUAGCAUACAUAAAUUAUUGAAAAGGUGCUUGGGUACUCCAUAGGAUGCAUGUAUGCUUGGUGCAGUACUCGCACCCACGUGUGCGUGAUGGAGUCAGAAAAAAUACAUAAAGUUUCUAAUUAUGGGGGAAAUGAUUUAUACACUGAAGUAUUGUGGGCAUCUUCAAUGCAGUGCAUCAAAAUCCUGCAUGUUCCAGAGGAGACAGCGUAUCUUAGGAAAAAUUCUUCCAUACGCUAAGAAAUGAGCGCACUCUACUUCCCUCACUACGUGACAAUUUGGAAGUGCUUGAUAACUUGCAUUUGCUUCGGCACAAAUCAACCCAUGUUUAUUUAAGAUUCUGCAUUGUGCCUAACAGUUAAGCCAUGGAAUGCGAAUGCAUGUGAUUUGGCGCUAAAAAUUUCGGCCACUUCAUCUUUUUGCAAUUGAAACUUCUAAUGUUUUGCUUCCUCUUUUGAGAUCAGAUCGUAUCCUGGGAAAUAUCAAAUUCUCCUGACUUUCACAGUGAACUGAUUUUUUAUCUCUGGAUAGAUACCAACAGUUCUGGGUGCAGCAAGUGCAAUCGAGAUGUACUCAUCAAAGUUUCUUCAGGGAGCUCACCAUUUGAUCCUCGAUGAGCGAGGUUAUACGGACGAUAGGUCUGCAAUGGCUGCUUCUCUUUUGCAGACUU
RNA transcript from Asparagus officinalis (garden asparagus), 4027 nucleotides. It is a transcript of the gene named LRR receptor-like serine/threonine-protein kinase RPK2, with no coding region annotated. The record is from RefSeq and is a predicted model, not a curated record. NCBI's taxonomy places the organism in Eukaryota, Viridiplantae, Streptophyta, Magnoliopsida, Asparagales, Asparagaceae. The transcript is spliced from 7 exons.